GAAGAGGCAAGAAGCAUGUGAGCCCGCUCCUGGGCUCCUCCAGGCAGUACCAGAAACGUGGCCACACUCCAGGACCGCCUUGGACCUCAGACCCUUAAGGGGCCCCGGCCCAGGACACCCGGCCCUCCUCGGCGCCCAGCGCCCUCCAGCCCCGGAGGGGCCCGCGUGCACUGACCUCCGGCCGGGCCCCUCACCCACCUUGAGGACCUGCUGCUUGAUGAUGGAGGGCACCAUCACGAUCAUGAUAACGCCCAGCACGGCGCACAGCAGCCCGGCGAAGCCCAGCGCCGCGGCCACCCGGCGCGCUCUAGAGCGGCUGCCCAUGUCUGCGCGCCCCGGCGCCCGCGCGGUGCUCGCGGAGCUCCGCGCCUGUGGAGGGACAGAGGCGGGGACGAAGGUGACUGAAGCAGCGACUCCGCGGACGCGGGCCGCAGCGGCACGGCGGGCCCCGGACCGCAGCACACGGAGGAGCGGCCCGGCAGCUCCCAAGAGACAGAAGCUGGUCUGUUUUUGCGAAUGGAUGUAACCCCAGCACCUGGAACAAUGCCUGGCACCUAGUACAUACUCAAUAAAGCCUUGAAAUAAUUAACCUUUAAUUAAUCAACCAACUCAUUCAUUAAUUAAUAUAAUUUCAUUGAAUUCCUUAAGGCCUUCAGCGGCCAUCAGCUUUGGGGAUUGUUUUAUGUUUGCUGACUUUUGUAGUUCUUGGGAAUUAACUAAUUAACUAAAAUCUGGGGUCUGUGCUCGCCCUGACGCCACCCCCUUCUUUGAUACCCAGCUUCCCUCGGCAAGGACUGGCUCGCCUUGACCAUCUCACCCAAUCUAACUUUCAAGUCUUCAAGGUCCAAAUGUACGUGAUGCUUACCCAAGAGAGCCCCCAAGGCCACGGCAAGAGCGUUCUCAUGUCACGCCACACUGUCACUUGACAAGAGAGAAAGCAGAGAUGAAAGGAUGUCUGAGACACAUGACCAGCCGUGACCUCGCUGUGGGGAGUCACAUCCACUGGGGGAGUAGGGGGCGGUGACCUAAGAAGCCAGAGAAAAGACUUCAUCAUGUUUCAGAGAGAGGCUUUGCCAGGAUGAGGCAAGACAAUGAUGCAGAAGGAAACUUUGAAAGAUUAAUGAUAGUAAAAUAUUAUCAACGUGCAUGUCAGAGAAAUCCUGUAAACGCCAAGUCAGAUGACGUUCCUCCUCAGCUCAAAACCCUCCCACGAUCGAAAGACACUUAGUAGGAGUGUUGGCAAAGAGGUGGAGAAAUUGGGACCCUCAUACACUGCUGGUGGGAUUGUAAAAUGGCACGGCCACUGUGGAGAACAGUCUGGAAACAGCUCCUCGAAAGACUAAACACAGAGUUGCCAUAAGUCCCCGCAGUUCCCCUCCCGGGUAUACAUGAGAGAAAUGAAAACUGUGUCCGCACAAAAAUGUGUACAUGACAGCACUCUUCACGGUAGCCAAAAGGUGGAAGCAACCCAAAUACCGCCCACUGACACAUGGAUAAAUAAAACGUGGAAUAUCCCACAAUGGAAUAUUAUUUGAUAUUAAAAAAUGAAGUACUGAUCCAUGCUGCAACACGGAUGACUUUGAAGACAUUACCCUAAGUGAAAGAGGCAGUUACAAA
Molecule: non-coding RNA, 1617 nt
Organism: Delphinapterus leucas (beluga whale)
Lineage: Eukaryota; Metazoa; Chordata; Mammalia; Artiodactyla; Monodontidae
Source: RefSeq, a predicted model, not a curated record